Maniola jurtina (meadow brown) is the source of this 375-nucleotide long non-coding RNA. RefSeq lists it as uncharacterized. NCBI's taxonomy places the organism in Eukaryota, Metazoa, Arthropoda, Insecta, Lepidoptera, Nymphalidae. The transcript is spliced from 2 exons. The record is from RefSeq and is a predicted model, not a curated record.
ACUAACAAAUAUAUAUUUAAAAAGUAACAUAAAAUAAAUUAUUCCCGCCGUGUCUACUUUAAUCGUAAUCUUUGAGAGUGCUAAACGAAUGUAAAUCAAGCUUUCACUAAUGCAUAGACAGUCAAAUUAUGCAUAAGCGUUGCGGCUUUUACACCACUAUGAAACGUGUACAUCGCGUGGAAGAUUUGUUUGCGAUGGUCAUUAUACUGGGCCUCUUGAGGCAGUUGGAAGGCACUAACAGUUUCCCGAUCGAGCGGAACGUGAGGCCCACCCAGCGCCACCCCCCGGGCCACUCGGUGAUAUACGUGAAACAAGUGAAAGCGAAACUAUGACACCGCUGCACCAGAUGCCCCAAUAAAUUGUAUUAUACAUUGA